UACAACUAUUAACCAGGUUCUUUCUUUCCUCUAAUCACUUUACAACCGCAAUGGCUUCUUCCUUCGCGCGGCUUGGCUGGAUCAGGGUUGCCCCCAUUGUCUAAAAUUCCCCACUGCUGCCUCCCGUAGG
Molecule: ribosomal RNA, 130 nt
Filed under: uncultured bacterium
Lineage: Bacteria
Description: partial 16S ribosomal RNA
Source: RNAcentral